CAGAGUUUGUUCGUAUACUAAAGAUUGGUGGGAAUUCAGGAAUUGAGGCAGCACUCUUGCAGUAUUUGAGCAUAAUGAUCCAGAACGUGGAAAAUGAACAUGCCAUCUGUAAGCCUUUGAAACUCGCAUCCGACACCAGAUCAAAGAUUGUAUUACUUGUAAUUUUUUAUCCAAGGAAAGUUGAAGGAUAGAGGCAAGACAUCCAGCUGCCUUGCAUGGGUUGGGAUAGCAUCUAAACAGUUCUAAAUGUAGAAUGGAAUAUGAAAACAAUCACAUGCUCAACAACGGCGAAGAUUGAUAUUACUUCAAAGCUUAAUGACCCCCAACUGUCAUGUCAGUCACACAUAGUUUCUAUUACUAACGUCAGAAACAUUAAUGUGCUCUUGCCUGGCUCUCGUGUAGUGCUACAAUAAUGUGCCCUGGAUCUUAUCUUUUGUGAGAACAUGAUCAUUCGAGCCUACAUAUGCAUCUUAUUGGGGGGUUUCAAAUGUAUGUGAAUUCAAAAAGUCUUGUGUUAAGCCAUAGGCUAUUUUCACUUCUAAGUAACUGUAUUUUCUUUUCUUUUCUAAAGCAUUAUUUUGUGCUUACUUCUUCAAAUGUUGCUUGUACAAUUCUUUGGUGUCUUUUCUAAUGUAAACGAUGCAGACUAUUGUUUCAGCAAUGGCUAUAUCAACAGCGUAAUAUCACAUCAUUAUGAGUUCGAUGGGGGAGAUCUAAUUCCUUAUUAUGUAUCCUUUCUGAGGUUGUGUGCCUUACUGUUCUUACUGUCAGUUAUUUAGUCUCAUUUUCCCUGGCUUAAGUUUAUGCCCAAGUAAUUAAUUUUUAUUUUUUGUGUAAUUUGAUCCAGAACAGUUAGUGGGAAAAUAGGUAGAGACACAAUCUGUCUUCUCGUAAAGGUUCACCAGGUAGAUUGAAGCUUAAAAUUUCAAUGAACUUUAUUAGAAAAGACUAUCUUUAUCCAUUCCCUUUUUGUUUGUUCAAGUACUUUACCCUGAUACUUUUGACCGAACUGGUCCAAAGCUCCUUGUUUCUUACAAGUAUUUAUUGCAAAAAGAAGUAUGCAUUUAGCCAGGCUGUAUCCUGCUCUAAAAGAACUUGAAAUGCUCAGAAAUGAAACGGAUUUUUUUUUUGGGCGUUGUUUGAUAAAAUUCCCUUAUUUUAUGAGUUGUUGAAUGUUCACAGGACCUUAGCAUUUAGGAAUAAAAGCUCUUGCAGCUAUCCAUAACGAUUUGCAGUUAACAUGUUAACAUAAUGUUAGAUUAUUUAGAUAACACCUGCCAAUUUUAUUUUGGAAUUGGGAGACAUUUGUUUUGAGGAUAGAAAUUUUAAAUGAUUGGUGCAGUCUAGACUAAGCUAAUUGGGAAGAAUUAGGUCUAACCAAUGUCAUCUAGUUCCACUAGGUCUGCCCUGUAAUAAUGCUGUUAUUGUGCUCUACUAUUGAUAAAAAUGUGUGUUGUCUUUAUAUAGAUUACCUAGAAUAAUGUGCUUUUUGUUAGUUACUCUGUUUUGAUUUUUACCCACUUUGACAGGACACUGCAAUCUCAUUGCCGUUGUAUGAUGAGGCUCUUAAAUUUGCUAACCAUGGGGAAAAGAUGAUACAGAUAGCAGUUCGUGCACUGACCCUUAACAUUUAUAGUGGUACUCUACUAUUAUAAAAUGUACUUUAUUUUAAAUAUAUUGUACUUUUAGUAGGUUGUAUCCAAAUAAUAGUGAUUCUAAGCUAUUUAUUCAAUGAUGCAGUUGCUGAUGAGAUGGUCUAUCAAUUUCUAACAACUCCGACUGCUUCUGCAUACUUUUCUAGCUUGAUUCUGAAUUUAAAAAAUAAGUGCUUGCAUGUUGAUGCAAUCAUCAAUGGGGUAAAGUAUGUUUCUGUUCCUUUAAAUGUUCAUUUGCUUUUUCCAACAGCAGUUAUCCGCCUCUUGAGAGCUUGUCAUAACUAUGAUGCAGGGAGAGUUUCCAUGAAAAGAAAAGAGAACUUCUUUCAGAAACUGAUAGAAUUUUGGAUGACUUCUAUUACCUGAAGGACAUACUGUGCAUUCCUGAGCAGCGCUUGAACAAACUUGUUACAGAGAACAUUGUUAACAUGCUUAUUUUGCCGAUGUUGCUUACUCUACUAAACAAUAGGCUAAGCAAUGUGAGAUAUUAUUCAGUUAGGCUUUGUUAUUUUGAUAUUUUGUCUCCUCAAUCUACUGGACUUCAUCAGAGGUGCAUUUUUUGGCUCAUAAUUUUUGGGGAAAACUAUUUUCCAGAGGAUCAAUGUAGUUUCUAAUAAAUAAUGAAGAGGAUGAGCAUAUAAAGUCUCUUGCCACUGACAUUGGUUAGAAGAAACACUUGAAGAAUUUUAACUAGUAAGCAAUUAAAGUUAUGGAGGGAUUGUAGUACUAUUAGUUCUCUCUCUCUCUUUCUGGGUAAGUGGGAGGUCUUGAACUCAAGAUCUCCUACUUACAAUCCUUCCCACCUUAUCACCCACCCAACCCUCCCCUCCGUAGUACUAUUACCCGUUGUUAUGCUUUUAUGUAGCGAAAAUAAUUUAUUAUCAUUCCAUCCCAGCGCAUGUUAUUAUUCUUGCAGAUAUUCAUUUGCAUUUCCUUCAGUGCUGUUCCUUCUGCACUCUAUCUGAAACCAUCAAAAUCAAUUUUCAUCCAAACAAAUAUUUCUUUGUGGUUCAGAAAGGCAUUUACAAACGUGGAGUCAUUUGUAUAUGUGCACAAUAAAGUUUGAUAUUUAAGUGUUUUACAAGAAUAAUAUCUCAACCUUUUUCAUUAUUCCUUCAGGACACUGGUCUAUCUGCAAUCACUUGUCUCUAUGUUCUUUGUCGUCUUCUUCAAGUUUUUGAUGGAACGAAUUUGGUUAAUGUUAUCGGCAGUGCUGUUCUAUUUUCUUUUAUGCCUCCAAAUGUGACAGAUGCUGCUGAGUCUGUUGUAUCUGCUAGACUUGAGCAGGUGAAUGGUCUUGCAGUCUGUUAUCAGGAAGGGGAAGAAAUGGUAGAUCUUCAGCAUGAGGGGGCAGAAAACUUCAUGAUGAACUAUGUUCUUAAGCAUUCAUUGGAGUUCACAGAACUGAGCUCUUGUUUUGACAGUUCACCGCUGGAGAAUUCGGAAAAUGAAUGGUUAGUGGUGGGUUUUAAUGUGAAUCCCUUUUUUUUUGCACUGUACAUGGAAUCAUGUAUUGGAUUUUGAAAGUAAUCUGUUAAUCUUGAUACCACCAGUUAAAUUAUUUAUUUAAGGUGCAUAAUAAAAUUAAUUUAGAGCUUUAGAAAGCUUUCAAAAGGUCUAGAAUAAAAAGGUGCAAUUAUUACAGCUGUUACAGAUGCAUGGCGUAUCACCAUAUCUGGGCAAAAAGUUUGGUGGUCAUAGAAGUGACAAACUAAGUGGCAUCAUUCACAAACAUUUGGAAGCCAUAAUGAUCAGCUGAAUAGUAGAUUAUGAAGGACUUUGCAUUUGUUCUUCUAUCUGUGUGUAAUACAUAGUGUUUUAUUUCUGCUGUUUGCUUCAUAUGCAAGUUCAUUUUGAUGCUUAAAAUUGCCUCUACUUAUUGAUCUUAUAUUAUAUGUGAAACAAGGGGGCUUGCGGAUCAGGUUUUCUUGAGAUCCUGGAUGGCUUUUAUCCUUAUCUAUGUCGUUUUUCAUUACUAUAUGUUUGGUACCUUCUCUCUUCUUUUCUAUCUGUUUUGAGUUCUGUACAAUAAAAGCGGCUCCUUGUGAAACUGAAUAAUAUGAUGCAAAAUUCUUGGAGAGGAUGACAAUAGAUGCGGUUAAUUGCCUAAUUUUAACAGUGAAUAAGAUGUUCAGUGCAUUUCAUUUUUUUUAUCUGCAAUUAAUUUGAGCCUUAUAAUUAUUUUUCUGAUGCAGAAAUUUCCAUUAGGCUUGUCCUGACGGUAACAAGAUUUGUAUUUGGAACAUUUUGCAGGGGUGGAAUAUUUAGUUGUAUUUUCUCCCGUAAUCACAGUCUAAUGCUAGGUUCUUUGAUGUUAUUGUUUACAGUGGCUGACAGUAAAGGUAGUUUUAUUUUUUCAUCUUUUCUUAUAUGUAUGACUGCUCUGCUAGUUUAUUAUUAUUAUUUUUCUUUUCCUGCAGAUCUUCAUUACCAGUUGGCUGCAAAGAUAGGAUUUUCUCAAGUAAAGGUAAUGGUUUUAUAUUCCCUGUUACGGUUAGAGAACAAAAGUCAUAUGUUCCUGUUUUGUUUUAUCAUUUGCUUACUUUUAAGGAGGGCAUGCCUCAAUAUUGGAGAUUCUUUGUAGGUUUUGUGAUCAUGUGUGACAUUGAAUGUCAUAUCCCUAUUAUUUUGGCGUUUAGCAAAAAGUUGGAUUGUAAUAUUUAGGGAAUUGAUUCCUUGCUUUUAUAUUUAAUUCCCAGACUGCUUCAGAGAUGAUUGGAAGCACUGUUGCAGGACACAUACAGAAGGUAUUUUUUGCCCAAGUUGCAUUUCACCAAUCAGUUUAAUAUAUUGUCCUGCUUGUGAUAGUGAAUUCCAAGACCGCAGCAAGCUGUUGGAUAUGGGAAGUUUCUGCCUCAUGAUUUGCUAAAUGCAUGAACUUGCAAUCUUCCUAAUCAAGUUAGUUUCUCUUUGGCAUCGCCCGCUAUUAUGAUGCUUUUAUUGAUUGUGCAGAUUGUGAAUCAAUUAUUGAAGGUUUUGGCGAGUGAACCACCAUUGUCAGUACCAAUAUUGUUGCAUGCAGCUUGGUUUUUGCGAAAGUUGUUGGUUUUUCUGGACCAGAAGUUAGAGGACAAUGAUUGUCACCUCUUCAAGGUUUGGUUUGAAUUUCUUGUAAUGUUUCCUCAGUCUCUAUCAUAUUACAGUUAUUAGUUGGAAAACUUUUCCUUUUGAGAUGUUCCUGAAAUACUGGUACAUAUCUCGAGUUGGACGAACUAGGUAAUCGCUAGUGUUUGUAUACUGCAAGCCAUAUUGACAGUUGGUGAAUGGAGUUUAUAGGGAAUAAAUAGAGAUUCUGCACCUCCACUCAGUUUGCAAAAGUUUCGUAUUAAUGGUGGUCAAAAUUCAUGUCUAUUGGCGGUGAAUAACAACAUCAGCAUGUUUAUAUAUAAUGUCCUGAGGCUUUUGCAACUGCUGGGUGAUUAACUGGUUCUGUGCUCAUAAAUUUAGCAUUUUGUGCCCCCCCCCCCCCCCCAAAAAAAAAAAAACUACAUCUAUCUGUGAAAUUUGCAUUCCCGUGUAGUUUGAAUAACUCAUAGAAGAUAAUCAAAUAAUUUCAGUCCUUUGAUCUGAAUAAUUCAACACAAUUGGAUGCAAUAAAAUUGUACAGUUAUCUGAGAUAUUCAACUAUUGGUUUGAUAUGACAAAUAAUGCUCAAUCUAGUCUUAUGGGUAUUGAAAAUGAGUAUGUGCAGGAUGCUAACUCUAUAACUUGUUUUUUCUUGCAACUUAGGUGACAAUUAAUUGACGAGUAAUUUGCACCUCAAGUAAUCCAGGUCGUUAGGGCUUCUAUGCUUUGGUUAUCUCUAGGGGAUGUUAAGUCACAAUAUUCUGUGAUGAGGCAGGAUUUAUUUUCAUCCAUAUUGCAUUUUUUUUAAAGAAUUCAUGGAUCAUUAUCACAGCUUCAUUGCAAAGCUUUCUAAUGACUGUAGACAAAAGUGAAUGGAAUUUAAGGAUAUAGUUUUUACCAUGCACAAAAAUUUGGGUAACAAUUCAGGUUGGAUGACCUGCAUUCCUUGAUGGACUAGCCCCUAGUUGCCUAACAGUCCCAUGGAACUAUAAGAUUGAGACAUUGUGUGAUAUGUAGUCAUUGGUUGCAUAAUCAUUGUAUGAUGAGGGAGACAUUUCAUUGCCUAAAAUUCCUUGCAAAUGUAUGACUUAUAAUUUUAUCUCAAACUUUCUAAUGAGAAUUUUGUUUCUGAGGUACGCUGACAGACCUCAUAUGAGGGCUCUUGUGGACGUCUUUAUGAAGAAUUUGAUCGAUGCUGGUUUGACUAUAUUCCAGAUGUGUUAAAAAGCGAAUGGGCCAACUGUAAAACAGGUAUGCAGUGUUUGUUUCAAAUUUUGCCAGCAAAGAAGAAAAGGCUUUCUGGAAAUUUGGGUCAUCAUCCUGCCUUGUGAUUUGUAUCAAGGAAUUUGAUUUGGUCCUUCUGGUGGUGUACGAUUUUACCAUUUUGUUUUCUCAUAAUGGGCUAUGUAAUCUUUUUUGAGCAUUUGUUUGCCUUGUGAGGCUACAGCACUCGAAGAAUCAUCACAGUCCAAGGAUCCUUUCUUUCUUCUAGAACUUGCAUCUAUUCAAAAUCCUCCCAGUGGUAGUAUGGCGUUUCUUCUACUCUCUUCCUUCCUUCUUUUAUUCAUAUUUCUUUUGUUUUAUCUCUGCUGUCUGCUUUUAAAAAGUAUAGUCUUACCACCUGCUAGUUUUCUAUUUAACAUCUCAGGCAAUACCGGUCCUGCUUUUGAUUGGCAACGGAUGGUUGAUUGUGUCAAGGUUAACAAUUAUCUUUUGAACUCUAAUCAUGGGAAUUACCUAACAGAUUUAAUCCUUCACCAUUAUGGUGUUUGGUUUUCAGAGUAUGUGAAAUUGAAUAGGUGAUGUUUAAUUUGGGAGGAAAUGCCUGAUAGUAAUAUUGAUACAAGUACCUACCAAGGAGGCUAAAUAAUGAUGACUGGUACUGUUUUUUCAGUGAUUUCCGGACCUUGUGGGAUGGGAAGUUCGAUAGAACUUUAGGUACAUGAUAUUCAGUCUCUUUAUAGAGCCAAGUUUAGGAGUAUGUCAGCCUUCUGUUUCAUCUGUGCCAUUUGGGUGUGAAUCAGACAAUUUUUUUUUGUGUCAGUUGUCACAGAAACCACAAAAAUGAUACUUGACUAAUUUUCACUGGCUUGUAAACUUGAUAGGUUUUUGUUCUCCAUCUUCAACUGAAGCCAUUUAUUUUUGGGGGUGAUCCUUUUGAUAAUCCUUUAGCAAAUUUGAAAAACAGCUACUUGGCUCAAUCGGGGAAAAGAUAUCCUUCGGAUCUUUCAUUGGCAAGCUUCGGUUCAGAGGUAGCUUUAGGUUGGUUAUCCAUCCUGUGGAGGUGUUACUUAGCAUUCACUCAAAUAUGCAUAAUCAUGUUCUUAAUUGGAGUUUUUAUCUUUAUAUUUUGCUUAAACAUUCACAGGUUCUGGAAUCCCCUGUAAAAUUGCAUUUUCUGGAGCUGGGACAAGAGAUAUUUAUGUGAUACCAAUUGCAAGGGAAAUAUCUGGUAAAUUGCUACUUGUGGAACGACAUCCGUUACACUCUAGAAAAGGAGUUGUAAUUGCCAUUGCUCCAUUGGCUGGAUUGGAUGUAAGUCCUUACCCCCACGUUAUUUUGAAAGUCUCUUUCAUAUUAUUGACCUUUGGGCAUCAUAUAAAUGCUCAAAAUGAUUAUAAAACUCGCUGAAUCAUUCAAAAUUAUGCCAAAUGCGUAAAUCUUCCGAGUUUCUCUGAUCGAAUUUUAAUUACUGUUACUAAGAUAUUAAUUGGUAGACACUUCUUGGAUAAUAUAUAACUGUAGCACAUAUCUCCGCUUAGAACCACUGCAGACCUGGCCUGUUGACAUGAACAGGUCGUUAUGCGGGAACCCAGUGAGUAUGAUCUGGGAGAUGUGCUGAUGCAAUGUGUGAAAUGUCAAUGUCAUCUACUUGUUUUGUGGGUGACUUGGAAAGGUUGUUUGGUCCAAAAUUUUCAUCUAACACUCAUUUCUUCCCCUGUUCGAAUAGCCCAAGAUAGACGAGGAGCAUCCUACAUGGUUGCUAGUGCAUCUUAGAGACUUUGAGCCAAGACUCCGAUCAGAUGAAACGAAAACACUCGACUCCCAUACAUCACUCCCUGAACAAGGAAGAUGGAUACUUGGAUUUUUGAGCGCCAAAGAUUGCAAGGCUGCUUUCUCGGUGAUACUCGAGGAAACUAGAAAACAGAGGUCCUUUGUGGAGAACUUGGUUGCUCCGGUACUGGAAGAGAAAUUGUUCAAAUAGUCGUCAACAAAAUGCUAGGGCAGUUUGAAUGCCGAGUAACAGCUCCUAUAACCCACAACACAUUAAUAAUACCCUGUACAUCUCCUCCUUGUUUUUGUUGAUGAAGCUAAUUAGAUUAUAAGCACGCCUUGUGGUUUUCUAUUCCCUCCAUGUAUUAUAUCUGCCUCUCUAGCAGCAAUGACAAAAACAACACAACGUAUUGAUAAAAGCUACAGACUCUGCUACAGGAUUUUUUUUUUUUUUUGGGGCAAAUCAUUAAAUACCUCGGCUAGGUGACCCAAUCAUUUAAAGGAAUGCAUAGAGUCCGAAGAAAGGCAAUUUGGUCAUCUUUUGCAAGGACAUCACGAUGAUAAUAGAAAUAUUUGCAUCAACAGAACAUAAAAAUUGCAUCAUGAUGCAUAUCAUAGAAAAGAUGACCUGCACUUGUUUGCCACAAAAUCUGGGUUAUACAAGCAUUCCAAUCAAGAUUUCUGGAAAAGAGCAAGAAAUUAUUUGAACAUUAUAUGAAAUGAAUAGCAAAGAAGUUUAGUUCUAUGUGCGCAUAAAUCCUAGUUAGCUGCCAAUAAGAGCAAACGAGAAUAAGGUGUUAUGGGCUCAUGUCAACCUUAUCAUUAGUAGUUAAAGAGCAGGGCGGGCUUACUUUUUUGUUCAUACUAAAAGUGAAAUGCUUGCAUGUAUACGAAUAUUCAGUUAAAAUCAACAAUGCUGUAAGUUCCUUGGGAUGGGGAGUUGGACAUUUUAUUAUCUAAUAGUACUGAAUCAGAGUGAACUUUUUUGCUUCGUUGAUACAGAUAUAUUAAACACCCAAAAAGAAAAAAAAGAAAAAGAAAAAUUCUACUUGUCAAUAUGUAAACCUUGUUUUCUGUUGGUGUUUUUGCUCAUGAGUUUCAGCAUUUUUGCUGUACUUUAGAUGGAACUCAUCUGCCUUGGCAUGUUGCGUUGAAAAAAGGACAUGAUAUGAUAUAGAGCUUAAUUCGGGGUACAAGGAUAACUAUCGCAGUUUAUUUUCUCAAGUAGUAGUAGUUUGUAGUAAGUACUUUCGUAAUUCUAAUUCUCUAAGAAAAUUGCAUGGUCUGAAACAAACUUUUGCAAAAGGAGUAUGUGGUACGCAGUGGCAUCAGCUUUGACAAAGCUGUAUCAUGUCAAAAUUAGAGCAACUUUUUCUCCUGCUACCUUUAAAAAUCUUUGGCCCGCCAGCGAAAUACUACUACUAUUUAGUACUCUUUUUUUUUUUUUUUUUUUGUCGACACGGGCUGUCCGGGUCAAUCCUUACGGGGCCUGAUUAAUCCCCUGCGGGACUCGAACCCUGGACAAGGCAAGAAGGUCACCAUACUCUAAGGAGGGGGAGCGGACCGCUCGAGCUACCCCGCGGGGGCAAAAACCAGUCACGUAGAGUGGCAAGUUGUGAGAGGCAGGGGUUGAAUCCCUGAACUCCAGUAUCCCCAAAGAAGGGGAUGACCACUGGACCAAAUGGCCAGUGGCUACUACUAUUUAUUACUCUCUGCUACGAGAAAGGAGGGGGAGGCUAUUGUGAAAAAAAAAAAAAAAAAGUGCUCUCUGCCUCUCAAAAUUGCUUUCACCACAUGGCCGUGUACAGACCAAAGACGUAUAUUCGAAGCCCAAGAGCAUAAACGUAAUACUAUCAAUCCUUUCUCAUUUCAAUUUAACUAUGGGUUGCAUGUUGCAUGAUAGUGUCUUUGCCUCGAGCAGAAAGAAAAUUAAUAUGAUUAAAAAAGCUACUCCGUCCGUUUGAUAGUUCUGUUUUCCUUUUUCGUCUGUCCCAAAUUGUAGUCUACUUUCUAAUUAAAAAAUGCAGUUAUUUUUUAAUUUAUCUAAAAUACCCUUAUUCAAUGUAGAUUGUUAUUAAUAUAAACUACCUUAUUUAACAUUGAUUGUUAACCUACCCCAUUUAAUACAUUUAGAUUUUUCAAAACAUAUUGAUAUAUGAAAAGCCAGCUUUGUUAUUCUUUCAAGAAAAAAAUGUGAAAUAAUAUAAAAUGAGGAUUAAUUCUUUCUUGAUCAUCAAUUCAAGUUCCUAUAAACCAUCAAUUCAAGUUUUCAUGAAUAAUUAUACUCUAUUUAAUGUAAGAGUAUUUUAGAAAAAUAGCAAUAUAAAUUUAUUGUUCCAACAAAGAUAACUACUUUUUCUUAAAUUAUAUGAAAAAAAAACUAGAACCGUCAAAAUGGACAGGGGGAGUAUUAAUUAUUAGACUCUUCCAAUUAACGAGUUUUGGUCCCUCCAAUGCUCAACAGACAUCAUAUCAAAGAAUUGGUUUCCAUGCUGCUUUGUCAACUCGCAUAAUUAUGUGCCUCUACAUCUGUCAUUAAACAACCACAGGGACUACUUGACACUAUAUAGGACCAUAGUUUUCCGAACAUCGAAAUUAAAUCUGGUGGGAGCAAUGUCAUAAAUGACAAAUAAGUUAUUAAUGGUGCGAAGUAAAAUAAACCCCGACCAAACAAAACCUUAUUAAUUAGGGUUGAUGCAGCCUAAUAGCCGGAAAAAUAGAUCGUGCAUAUUAAUGAACUAGAUGGUAGUAAACAAACAAACAAGAAGGGAUGGAUAGCUACCGUAGCAUUCGCAAGGAAGCAACUUGUUACAGAAAGGAAAAGAUUAAAAAAAGAAAGAACAAACCAAUUUAAUCUUACGAUGGCCCAAAAAAGAAAGUGAAAACAAACUGUCGUGCAUGGUGGCUUUUUCAGCAGUUACCCGAUUAUACAACUUUAGCCGUUAUAGGUGAUGAAAAGAGUGCUACGUUAACAGUAUGGGAAAGAAUAAUCCUCUGUUUGAUUCAAACACUCACUUUUCCAAUGUUGUAGAAUAGUUUUACGUCAAAUUAUUUGUUUCUUUGGUAUGUCUUUUUAGGCCAUUAAAGAUGGAAGAAGCUUUUUGACUGCAACUGAUCAGAAUACCAAUGCUUUAAUAAAAGGGACGUCUUUGUAAUUUGUCGUGUAUUUGUACUAGUAUUUGGUGGAUGGAUGCAAGUCGCAGCUUGCCAAUGCAUGCACAAAUAUUUCUGCUCUUUCUUUCUUGAAAGUUCUCAGGCUUUUUUUUUUUUUUUUUUUUCCAUCUGUGGUGGGGAGGGCAAGAAUAAAGAUAGUUGCUGAUGGUAACGAAACCUAAUAUGUAUGUUAUCAUAUAAAGCAUGCUCGUAGAAAUUAUUGGGAAUUGGGGGUCGGGACUUGUAGUACAUUCCCAACCAUGAUGAGAAGGGCCCUGGUCAUGUAAUAUUUACUCCUGUCAUGAGCGAUGUUAUGACCAUCAGCUUCUAGGGUGCCGUUAAAGAAACAUUCUUAGGGUUUUUCUUUUUCGUGUCCACAUGGUUCUUUUCUAGGACAGGGCCAAAACAUAAGGGAAGAGCAAACAAAAAGAAAUCAAAUCGAAAUGUCUUUUUUAUGUUUUUCGCCCCCAAAUUUGAUUGGCAGAUCUCCAUAUUUGGAUAAAUCUAUGGCUAAGUUAGUUUGCUUUUCUUUUGAAUCACUUUUAGUUCAAAGAGACAAAAGAGCUAAAGUGAGCUGAAUAAACAUUAGUAGUAUGUCAGGGUUUUUGUGCAAAUAAAAGCCAAAUAUGAUUGAGGAAUGAAAGGGAGAUCUCUCGUUUGUUGUGUACAAGAAUAUUGUUUGCUUUGUCUGUAGGGGUUUGAUUCGGGGGUCGUUUGACUCCCAAGAUAAGGUGGUGGUGGUGGGCAUUGGACAGUGAGUGGUGUUGUUCAUUCGCUCUCCUUUCUAUGCCAACAUAAGCACGCUGAUAAAUAUUGAGGCCACUAACUUCUUGCAUGUCAUGGGAGGGAAGGGAGAAAGCAAAGAUAGCCCCCACAAAUUCUUCUAAGAAUCUGAGCCAAAAAAAUGAAGAAGAAGAAGGAAAAAGAGAGAGAGGGAGGGGAAGCCUUGUUACAGCUGCUCAAUUUUCAAGGCAUCACAUUUCAAUUCUUUUGGUUUCGUCCAAGGCAUUACAUUUCAAUUCUUUCUUCCAUAGCUCAUUGCCUUUUAUGUGCUUUCAAUUCUGUGAGGCACUUUCGUAUUGUUUAUUCAAGAAACGUAGCCUUGCGAGAAGAUAGAUCUAAAUCAUUAUGCAACAAGAAUCGCAACUACUGUUUAACAUUUGUGGCUUUGAUUUCUAGUUUCGGUAACAAUUAAGGUCUAACUGCAUGGCUACUGUUAUCAAUACCUAAAUAAUCUAAUCUGUAUUUGAAAUUUAUAGAAUAGUAUAAACCUUUCAAAUUAUUUAAAAGCAGAUUUGCCACUUUAAUUCGCAAUAUUUUUUUUUUCCAUUUUGAAAACUUUAAAAUCAUCUGCGUGAACGUAAUUAAGUCAUCUUCUCAAAUAAUUAUUUCAAAGUCACCAUGUAAAAUAUAAUUAUUUUAAAACUUGAUAAUUGAUCCUUGCUAAAUAGGUGAAUGUCCAAAUUUCCAACAGAUACUUGCCAAGGGUAAACAGAAGCUCUUUACGUCAAUGCAAUAGAACAAUACCAGCUCGGAUACGCAAGUCCUGAUUUGUUCACAUAACUUGAAUAAACCAAGGACUGUUCAAAAGCUUCAACGUUGUGGGACAAUAUUCCAAUAUUCCGUAUGCCUGCGGGGUGUCGGUGCGAGAGAGAGAGAGGAGGAGGUAGGGAGGGGAAUGGAUUGAGAAUUUCAAAAUCCCCAUGCAUAAAGCGCCUCUCACUCUGCCUGUAUAUUUAAUUCAUUGGACGUAUAUCCUAGUUGAUGCAUGUACGUCCAUGUAAACUGAAAAAUGAUCUAUUAUCUGCAAUUACUGUGUAGGAGCCGGAGCCAUUUACCUUGUAAUUUUGAGGCUGGAAGAAAUCAAAUAGCCACCCGCUCACAAUUGAACAGAUCAGGGCUUAUAUCUAUAUAAAAUCGAUUGUUUGAAACAAUAAGCUUUGUUUUUUGUUUUUUCCUGCCCUAGCCACCUGCAUUAUUUUAGUUCUACCCAUCGUUGCAGUUCUUGUUCUUGGCCCUUUGUAUAUAUGUAGGAGUUCCUCUCGUCCACCUUCCAGUCUUCCUUCGUAUUUGGAGGUAACCCAUGCUUUACCUUCCAGCAACACAAAAGUUGGUCAAAAGCUCAAUAUUGCCAAUCCUUGACUGAAGCUGAACAAUCUAAAAUAAGUAAAUAAAUAUAGACAUAUACACACACACACACACAUACACGCACAUAUACAGUAAACGGAUAGGGAGGUCUUUUUAACUGGAGUUGCACCAGUGUAGCGAGUUCCACUUUUGUUCUUAUGCUUUUUCCUUUUUCCUCUUCUUUUUAAAGAAAUUAGCUAGGAGACUGUGGUUCUUGAUUUGUUACAUAAGUGAUGGGUAUCUGUGGUCGCCUUUGUGAAUUAAAUACGAGUAAUUGCAUGAAAGGCAGAGUCCCACUUCCACGUCCCGAACCCUGAAUUCCUGAUAUAUCUGCGGUGUGUAUAUUGAGAGAGCAAGGAAGAAAAAAGAGUAAAGCUGAGUUGCCUUUGGUGUAUUCCUCAUCCUUGUCAGCACAUGCAUUCCACUUUCUGCCACUGAAAUCGACUUUGGACCCCAAAUUUAACCUCACCUCCAAGAAAAGAACAGCCCACCUGAUCCCUCCCCCCCUCCCACUCUCUAUAUUUCAAUCACAUCUCUUUCCACACGUUCCAAGCAUAAUCUACCCUAGAUUUACAGGUUCAAUAAUACUCUUCUGUACCACACAGUACGUACAUAUUGAUUUAUAGGAAGGGAUUUAACAAAGAUUAAUUCAUAGACAUCCCAGACCAUAUAAAUCUCAUACUAGCGUGUAUAUCUUGCUUCUUGUCUAUCUCAUCCGAAAAGAGCACCCUAGUGAGGUUUGUGUUUCCUGAUUGUUCCAAUCCUAUCAAUAAAACUUCCCGAUCCUUUUUUCCAUUUGAUCGUUCACUCAUUCAGAAAUUAAACCAAGAGGUCCCUUUUUUUUUUCUGUCAAAGUCUUCAUGAAACGAUCAUCCAUACUAGAAAUUUGAAACUUUUUACAAGAUCCUUUUGGUGAUACUCUUUUUGCUAUAGAACUCACGAAAUCUGUUCAAGAAGUAUGAGAGCAGGAGGGUGCACAGUGCAGCAAACUCUGACAGUUGAGGCAGCAACGGUCGUAAAACAGGCGCUAGCACUAGCCAGAAGACGCGGUCAUGCCCAGGUAACACCGCUUCAUGUUGCAAACACCAUGCUUUCAGCUUCCAAUGGCCUACUCCGAACGGCUUGUCUCCAAUCUCAUGCUCACCCCCUCCAAUGCAAAGCCCUAGAGCUUUGCUUCAACGUUGCACUCAAUCGUCUCCCUGCUUCUUCAUCUGGCCCCAUGUUAGGUGCUCACUCUCAUCGAAUUCCGAUUUCGAAUUGUGAAUUCGAAAUCGGAAAUUCCGAUUUGAAAAACUCCAUUACCGAAUCCGAACUAAAUUCGAAAUAUAUGAAUUCGGAAAACCCGAAUUCGAUUCCGAUUUCCGAUUUAUCGAUUUCAAAAAUUUCGAAUUCAAUUCGAAUUCGGUCGGUAAAUCAGAAUUUUUCGAUUUUGCACACUCCUAAUCACAUGUCCCUAUCACCUUUUUUCCUCACAUUUAUCAAAUCGCUAUAGUAUUUUUUCCAUGAAAAAUGACGGAAAAUGCAAUUAAAACACAACCAAAAGUUUCAUCGUACUUAUAAUGAAGCUUUAGAAUGCCAUUUUAAAUCAUUUACCAAAGUAUAGAUGACGAGAAAGAGGUUAAAACAAAGAGGAGUUAAUUCCUCUACCAGCCCACCUUCUUCUUGUAUAAAUUGACGUAGACCCUGCAAGCAUCUUUAAUUCGAGUAGAAUUCACAGGCUGUAUGAUUCAUUUCCGAAUUGUAUAUAUAUAAAAAAAGGGAUAAAGAUUAGUUAAUUCUACACGCAUAGAGUAGUAUAUCUUUAGUCAUUAGUUAAUUUGAUCCUUAGUUAAUUUUACACGUUGUCCUACUUUUCUAUAUGGUCCUCGGCAGAAAGUAACAAUGGUUAGCUCUAGAAUCUACUCAGCCCUUGUUUGAUAAUUUCAUUUAGUAUUUAAAUUUAAUGGAUUCAGAUCGUAACAAGUUCAGACGCGUUUGAUAACAAAAAAAUUGAACAUCUGAAUUAAUUAAAUGAUACUGAAUUUCCUAAUCAAAACUUGAUCUAAAAAAUAAGUAAUAAGCUACUCACUUAUCAGCGAAUGUGAUAUACAUUUAAAUGUAUUAGAUUUAGCACUUAAUAAUUCAAUAAUUUAAUGGAUUUAGAUUUCAGUUUUAAAUUGAGUGUGUUUGGAUUGUAAAUGAUUUGAGAUAAUUUUGUGAAAAAAGUACUGUAACACUUUUUUGAUAUGAUGUAUGUGAGAUAAAAAAUGAUUGAAAAAUAUAUUGACGAUGCAAGCAAGUCAGUGCGUGUAAAUAAGGUGUAAUUUUUUAUAAUCGAAACACUUACUGUUUGGAUUAGCAUUUUUUGGGGUGAUUUUAAAAUUUUUUACUGUAGCAGAGUUUUUAGAAUAUAUUUUGAGAUAUUUUCUAAACAUUGAAAAAAUGUAGACUAUUUUUUAUAGUACCUACCUUUUAAAGUACUUUUUUAAACUAGUAACUAGUUUUUGAAAAACUCAACAAUAAUUAGCCAAGAUAGAAAUAUUCACAACUAGUUAUUGGUUUGGAAACUUAAAAAUAUCAAACCUUAAUGAUUUUGUAUAGGUAUUAUUUAAGAUAAGCUUGCAAAGAAUAAUCAAGCAUAAUAAAAUUUUAUUAUUUUGACACACAUUCCACAUAAUUAUUGCCAUGUCAUUAUUACUCAUUAAAGAUGCGAAAGGAAACCUCUUGUUAGUACAUGUUAUCACUCCACAUAGGCAGUGCUUAAGAAAAAAAAAAAAAAAAAAAAAAAAAAAGGAAAAAAAGAAGCAGCUGUCGGUUUAUUGUGAUGGGAGCAAAAGCGUACGCUGCUUCCAAAUUCCAACCGUCAACUCCAUCCUCACUGGUCAUAUCAUCCGUCCAGCAUUCGAAUUCGAUCACCCAAAUAAACCAUCCGGUCCACCUUUUUAAUUACAGUUAUCAUGAAUGGGAAUGAAGUUUAGAAAACAAAAAAAAAAAAAAAAAGAAGAAUGAUUGAAAGUUAGUUGAGGUUGCCAAAAUUUUGCAAACCUACCAGACAAACAACCUCCACCUUCCAAUUUCAUUGUGGCGCCCCGCCCAGCCCCCAAUACGUAUUGCGACUCGCUAGUCCCUACAGCAUUCUUGCUCCGGGACUAUUUCCAAGUGCAGCGCGCGCGCAUUGUAAAACACAUUCUUUCUUUCUUAAUUCCGGGUAUAGUAGUGCCUCAAUACUGUUCCUGCUAUCUACGAUGUGGCGGUCACUUUGGCCUACAAUCGACCGCUUCUCUCUUCACCACUUCAGGUUUGCUCCAUUUUUUUUUUCGGUUACAUUUGCUUUUUAACCUUUUUGUUUUUGUGGGAGCAAAAGUUUUUGUUCUAAAAUCCUGAACUAAUUACAAAAUAACCCAUUUACAGUCAAAUUUCUUCUUUCUACUUUUUCCUUGGGCCCGGAGGGGGGGGGGCGGUGUUGGUUGUGAAUCAGUGGAGUACAGAGUGGAAGUGAAAUUUUGUUGCAACGAUGCAAUUUAAUCAGGGUUUAAAGCUUUGUCUUCAUGGUGAAAAUUUAUCUUGUAGGCAGAUUUUUAUUACAUGAUCCACAGAGGAAAAUUAUAUCAUAAGGUGGGGAAACAUUUUUCUUUUUGAUUAAGGCUGGCAGCAUCCUCGACAUGCAUUUCAGCCACAUAAAACUGUUGGCUUUAACAUGACCUCCUUUUGGGUUGAAAAUUUUUGUGUUUCUACUACAUUUAUUCUUGUUCUACUAUCUCCCUUGUUUAACUGUCUUGUGUGAUCCAAUUUUGGAAUUUAGAUAUAUUGUAAACCAACUGCGGGAAAUCAGAGUCGUUGACAAGCGCAACCGGGUAUAGAAUCAAUUCAUUUCCCACUUCGAUUUAUCAAAUUUGCCUAAUGAUCUGUUUUCUGCGGUCUGAUAUCAGCAACCCUUCUCUCUUGCAUGAUCCUCUUCCUCCAGGAAGUAGUUUUGGAUUUGCUUCAAUCAAUUGUGGAAAUAGUUACCUAUGGCGAUCGGCAUGAUCCAGCGAUUUUCGAGUUAGAAACAUUGCAUCGCCCUACUUUUCUAGAUCCUCUUAAUGUGAAUAUGUUGUGACACAUCCAACUUGAGUUUCCUUUUCUCUUCCUAUAGAUGUUUCAUGGAAUUUCAAGUUUUAGCAGAGUUUGUUCGUAUACUAAAGAUUGGUGGGAAUUCAGGAAUUGAGGCACCACUCUUGCAGUAUUUGAGCAUAAUGAUCCAGAACGUGGAAAAUGAACAUGCCAUCUGUAAGCCUUUGAAACUCGCAUCCGACACCAGAUCAAAGAUUGUAUUACUCGUAAUUUUUUAUCCAAGGAAAGUUGAAGGAUAGAGGCAAGACAUCUAGCUGCCUUGCAUGGGUUGGGAUAGCAUCUAAACAGUUCUAAAUGUAGAAUGGAAUA
Molecule: long non-coding RNA, 17396 nt
Filed under: Coffea arabica (coffee)
Lineage: Eukaryota; Viridiplantae; Streptophyta; Magnoliopsida; Gentianales; Rubiaceae
Description: long non-coding RNA (CARA_LNC003963)
Source: RNAcentral